UGCACGGUGGUGCAGUUGGUAGCACUGUUGCCUUGCAGCUGCCUUGUGUCCUGGGUUCGAUUCCCGGCCGGGGGUCUUUUCUGCAU
Non-coding RNA from Crenichthys baileyi (White River springfish), 86 nucleotides. The record is from the annotation of a GenBank genome assembly. Lineage: Eukaryota; Metazoa; Chordata; Actinopteri; Cyprinodontiformes; Goodeidae.